CCUACGGGAGGCAGCAGUAAGGAAUAUUGGUCAAUGGAGGCAACUCUGAACCAGCCAUGCCGCGUGCAGGAAGAAGGCCCUAUGGGUCGUAAACUGCUUUUGUACCAGAGAAAACCCGAGUACGUGUACUCGGUUGAUAGUAUGGUAAGAAUAAGCAUCGGCUAACUUCGUGCCAGCAGCCGCGGUAAGACGAAGGAUGCAAGCGUUAUCCGGAUUCAUUGGGUUUAAAGGGUGCGUAGGCGGACUGAUAAGUCAGUGGUGAAAUCUCUCGGCUUAACCGAGAAACUGCCAUUGAUACUGUUAGUCUAGAGUAUAGAUGACGUUGGCGGAAUAUGACAUGUAGUGGUGAAAUACUUAGAUAUGUCAUAGAACACCGAUUGCGAAGGCAGCUAACGAAACUAUAACUGACGCUGAGGCACGAAAGUGCGGGGAUCAAACAGGAUUAGAUACCCUGGUAGUCCGCACCGUAAACGAUGAUUACUCGUUGUUGGCAAUAUGACCGUCAGCGACCAAGCGAAAGCGAUAAGAAUCCACCUGGGGAGUACGCGGCACGGUGAAACUUAAAGGAAUUGACGGCGNGAGAGAGCGACGGACGACGACGAGGGAGGAGG
Molecule: ribosomal RNA, 611 nt
Filed under: uncultured bacterium
Lineage: Bacteria
Description: bacterial SSU rRNA
Rfam family: Bacterial small subunit ribosomal RNA
Source: RNAcentral